UAAUGGCUCACCAAGGCGACGAUCCCUAGCUGGUCUGAGAGGAUGAUCAGCCACACUGGAACUGAGACACGGUCCAGACUCCUACGGGAGGCAGCAGUGGGGAAUAUUGCACAAUGGGCGCAAGCCUGAUGCAGCCAUGCCGCGUGUGUGAAGAAGGCCUUCGGGUUGUAAAGCACUUUCAGUCGUGAGGAAGGUGGUAUUGUUAAUAGCAUCAUCAUUUGACGUUAGCGGCAGAAGAAGCACCGGCUAACUCCGUGCCAGCAGCCGCGGUAAUACGGAGGGUGCGAGCGUUAAUCGGAAUUACUGGGCGUAAAGCGCAUGCAGGUGGUUUGUUAAGUCAGAUGUGAAAGCCCGGGGCUCAACCUCGGAAUAGCAUUUGAAACUGGCAGACUAGAGUACUGUAGAGGGGGGUAGAAUUUCAGGUGU
Molecule: ribosomal RNA, 426 nt
Filed under: Vibrio mediterranei
Lineage: Bacteria; Pseudomonadati; Pseudomonadota; Gammaproteobacteria; Vibrionales; Vibrionaceae
Description: bacterial SSU rRNA
Rfam family: Bacterial small subunit ribosomal RNA
Source: RNAcentral